This is a long non-coding RNA of Zea mays, 1896 nucleotides long. RefSeq lists it as uncharacterized. The record is from RefSeq and is a predicted model, not a curated record. The transcript is spliced from 4 exons. NCBI's taxonomy places the organism in Eukaryota, Viridiplantae, Streptophyta, Magnoliopsida, Poales, Poaceae.
AGUUGUCUGUAACCCUUGGUAUCAUGUUUGCCUAUUUGCUCGGCUUGUUUGUUCCUUGGAGGCUUCUUGCAGUAAUAGGAACCUUGCUCUGCAUAGUGUUGAUAUCUGGCCUUUUCUUCAUUCCGGAAUCUCCAAGAUGGCUGGCAAAGAUGAAUAUAAUGGAUGAUUGCGAGACUUCUCUACAAGUUCUGAGAGGAUUCGAUGCUGACAUCACUUCAGAAUUGAAUGAUAUAAAGGUUAGCACUUCCCUUUGUUCUACAGCAUGGACUCCUUCCAGACCGCCAACAACCUCGUCCGCACCCAGGCAUCAGCAAGACAACACAACAGUUGGAUGGAAUCUAUGCACUCUUUGCAGUAUUGAGGCUUGCUGUUGUUGAUACAAAAGCAGAUGGUGCCAUUCUGAAGGAGAAACUGUGGACAUUGAUUGCUCAAAAUGAACCCUCGUUAAUCUCUUUAUAGUUGGUAAUUCUGUUGUUCUGAAUUUUCCACUAAGAAUACUUUGUUAUCCCACAAAAAUAACACGAAAGUGCAUGUAUGGAUGUACUUCAGCAUCUCAGCACCUUUUUAUUUAUUAUUUAGAGAUCCUGAUGAGCUACUUAUGGAAUAUACAUUUAUGUAAAUUGUGUUUGGAGAAAUAAUUCUUAGUGGUUACAAGAACUCUAAAGGGUGUAGUGUAAUCAUUCGUAUUAAAUCUUAUAACUUUUAAGAUCUUUGAUGAUACCUCAAAACUAAAUCUCUUUGUAUUAAUGCUUUUGUAACACUGUUUUCUCCCGACAACUUCUCAAACUAGCAGAUGACGAUUGCUUAGCCAUGCUGGAUCUUCUUCAAUCACUGCUUAUAGAUCAUUACUUUAGGUCUAGCUCAAGCAUAUGAAUUGGAUUUUGUGUGUCAGACCGGCACCUUUCUUUUUUGCUCUCAACUUAUUUUUUUCUCGAAAAUGCGCAGGAGAACUGCGCCUCAUUAUAUUAAUAAGAAAAAGAAACCAAGGUCUAAAGGAAGACCUAAUACAAAAGACCCCUUACGAGGUCAGAAACAUGCAUAUAGGAAGAAAUCCAUCUAGGAAAACAAAGAAAAAAACCCACACACUGCCAGGGAAGUCCCUAUGGCUCAGCUAAGGGGGCUGCCAGGUAAGAAAUGCCUUUUGCCCCCGCUAUUUCCCAUCGAUGCAUCUCCUCAAGCAGGUAUUUUUUAUUCUAAAUUGUUGAGUUGGAGAAUAUUUUCCAAUCCAGUCAUUGCUGCAGUUACAUAUAUUUGGCUUGAAUGCUCUAAAUUGUUGACCUUGUUUUUCUUAUUCUAAAUUCUUUUAAAAUAUUGAUGCACACAGUUAGCUUCUUACUACUGAAGAAAUACUUAUAUGUCUAUAGCAUGUAUUGAUUCAUUGUCCUUUUGUACAACUGCUAAUAUAUCUACUUUGCCAUCCAAGCUCGGAGGUGAGAAGGUAGUUUAUGAUGCUACCAAGAAAAUCUUCUCAAGCUCCAGUGGUCCAGCCGAAGAUAUUCUAUUCUUAUUCACAGAUUGGUUGUCACUACUGGGAGAGAUUGUCAAUAUUGAAACAAUGGUACACACCUAAUUCUUUGUAUUCCUCUUGCAAUCAUCUACUUUCCUCUGGAUUUGCUUGGGACUCAUGUUGGGUACUUGUGUUUUAACUAUAGCCUACCACAACUUGCUUGAGACUAAAUUGCUUUGUUGUUGCUCAGUUGCUGUUGAAUCCUCUGCUACUCUAAGCUUCUUUGAUGUUGGGUGUAAUGUUGUAACUGGCUAUCGUUGUUGGCCGAACAUUUGGCUAGCGUGGAUGAUAUAUAUUGCAAUGUGAAUCCAAUAAGCAGGAGAGUGAUCAAUGUAUGUAAUCGUUGUACACUAACAUUUGUCGAAUAUUUUGUAUAUCGUUUCAAGGCA